GCUUGAGCGCAGAGGAUCUCCGCUUGGCAGGGAAUGAGAAAAAAAAAAAAAAAAAAAAAAAAAAAAAC
Molecule: non-coding RNA, 68 nt
Filed under: Prorocentrum micans
Lineage: Eukaryota; Dinophyceae; Prorocentrales; Prorocentraceae
Source: RNAcentral